CGAGGCUUUCAGUCGGUGCCUCGGCUGCGCUCGCUGGGACGGACAAACGCAAGCCGACAUCCGCCAAGCGCGGCGCACGGCCCAGAGGCCGCCCACGUGCUGGUGAUGCUGUUUACGAAGGAAAGGCUUCGUGGGGCUGCUCUAAGCCCAGGUCAAGGCAGAGGAUGUUUACCAGCCUUCAGACCAAGGUGGCUGAGGACACGAUGCUGUGUGAGCGGGGAAGGUGCCCCAGGAUGCGGGUGCCCAUUGCCCCAGCGCCGCUCGUGGGCAUCGCCAAGGCUCUGCAAGUGCUCUGUGCUCCUGGCAGAGGGAGCAAACCCCGUGGAGGGCUGCAAGUGUUUGGGACAACGGUCUGGGCCUUAAGCAGGACUCUGCAAGUGCCUUGUCUGCCCUGGGGCCAAGCCAUGCCCCUUAUCCUACAGCUGGCAGAGCCCAGGGUCAUCCUGGCACUCUCUGAGGACAACCAGGACAGACACCUACCCCACUGCCCCUCCGGCAGGUGUGCUGCAGAAUCAGGCCUGCUCUUUGCAUACCAAAGACACACAGAAAUGAGGAAGCCCUUGCAGAUUUGUCAGACUUCUCCCUCACCAGUUUGCAUUUUGCUGUCUCCGCUCUCCUCCAGCUAAGGGCAGGGGAGAGAGGACAGAGCUGGAGGAGGUCAGGUUGGGGCUGGGGAAGGAGAGGACAGAUUUGGGGUUAGCUGGAGCGCUUUGAGCUUUAGGGCAGGGCUUCAUCCUUUGGCAGAGAGUGCGUCUGAAGUACCUGACUGCUCUCUGCUAAGUGAGCUUCACUUCCUAUUCCUACAAAAAGGGAAGUUGCUUUUUUAGAAAGCUGCUUGCCAUCCACCGCAGAGGUAGGAAGGAGGAGCUACCACGAGGUGCAGCAAAGGCUUAGAAAUAAGGCUGCCAAGUCAUCUUGGGAAACAGGGCGACAGCACGGCAGCUCCAGACAGAAACCUGCUUCUGAUUUGAGACACGUUCCCAGUUCUGACAGUGGGGAAACCCAGCAGCUGCAGCCAGGCUGCUGCACAGACCCUUCCAGUGACGGCAGCAGUUAAAGCAGCUCAGAAUUGAAGAGUCUAAAUAAACAGAUUAAACAUGGUGCAAUCUACCUACUGCGUCCCAGGGAGGUUUUUAGGUACCUAGAGCUGUGACCCUGAGGGGAGAAUCAGCCCUUCAUCCCCAUGCCUCCUCUGUUGCCUCCAGACGGGGACUCUCCUGGCCCUGAGACAAGACCCAGAGUGGAGAAGCCCAGGCAGUGAAUGCCCUCCUGCAAUCUGUCUGCUCAGAAAUCAUGAAGCACCAGCCCACGGGUAUCCUUUAAAAGAAACUGGAGGGAAGUCACUGCGAAAGCACGCAAAAAAGGGCACUGAAAAGAGAGGAAGUCUCGUACACAGCUCCUGGGUCACUCCAGAUGGGCUCCACCUGCCCCCAGUUUCCCCAGCCCGAGGGUGCAGGCUGUCAUCUCCCCCGCUCCAGCAGGGUCUGGCUGGCAGUGGUCCCACCUUGCUGCCAUAUGUUGGUCUCCAGAUGUUCCCCAGGAGCUUCGCAGUGUGCAAUCCCACAGCUGGCUCAUCUCUGCUACCUGUUACAAUCCCCCGUAAGAUGUGCAUUGAACCCAAAUGUCCAGCCCAUGGGGUUAAUGCCCGAAGAAAGAUCUCUAGGACUAACCACAAUCCCUGGACACGGAGAGAGUCCAGAAAAUGCUGCUGGCUCCCUCUGGAUGACCCCAAGCCCAGUGGGAUGGCCACCCGGCCAUACACCCACACUGGUGGCCCCACUGCACAGCCUCCUUCUGCAGCAGAGUCCACCACAUUUUAUCCACUUUACACUGAACCCAAUAAAAGUGUUCCCGUUAAGGUGGCUGCUGCAGGAGGGACUCCAGCUUCGAUCUGAAGCCACCCAGAGGGAUGAAGGCACCUCCACUUUCCAGUUGGCCCCAGGGGCUGCUUUCUACACCCCUGCAGUGCAGGCUAGGUAGCUCGUUCCCUCCAGACCUUGUUCUCAUGACCUGCUUAUGAAUUUCCCCUCCCAUUCCUUGCCUGUUAAGAACGAGUACCCUAAUUUACCAUCUGAACCUUGCAGCUGCCAUUCCUCUGGCAAAUUAAAAGCUAAUUUAAAGCACUGGAUUGCUGCUGGAGGAGGAUGCUGAUGCAUUUUAACCAACCAUCCGGCCUCCAUUUUGACUGCUGAGGCUUUCUGAGCUCUAAGGCAGCAUCUCUGCUAGUGAAAUAGUGUCAGGUCUCCAUCUCUCCCCCUUCAAAAUAAGCUGUGGUCUUCCUCCUGUGAGUCUCAAAUGCUGAAGGCCAAAUGCGUAAGAGACAACUGGGAAAAAAACUCUGUGAUAAAAGUCAAGGCUGCACUGAGCAGAGGGAUACCCUCCUGUGAGGCCACCUGGUGUAAUCUGAUGGUCCUUCACCACUUGCCACCAUAACCUGGGGAAGAACAGAGGUCUGAGAAAAGAGGAGGCUGCGACCUUCUGCGUAUGAGGAGAUAUUUGCAAAGUAGGAAACGGGGACCCCGGUGACUCGGAUGCAGGGUCAGUCGCCUCAUUUGCCUCUUGGCCAUAAUGCAAAUGGCACCAAGAGUUUGUUCACCCCUGCUUCCUCCACCCAGAGUUGCGUAUUCAACCAUCGGUAAGGCGGCCCAGACGCCCCAGACAAAUUAAUAAUUUUUCACUCUUCUCCUCUUACUGGGUAGCAAAGGACUCAUUUGUAAACCCCAUGUGUUUUCUAUUUCUGCUCUGUCUCCUACGUGCCUGACAUGCAGGACACAAGGAGUCCUGCAUGCUGCUUUUUGAUCAGCAACAGAUUUCCCACUUUCCAGAUGAACAGAAGUCAUCUGUGAGAUCCAGUCAAGUUCAACGAAUUAUUUCAUAAGUAAAUAAAAGUUUGUUGGGGAGGAAAUCCACAGAGAGGUUUUGAAAAGCACAUUUCACUUCAGAAAAGAAGUACAUUUUACAGGGUCGCAGAAAUGUAGGGCUGGCCCUCAGGCAGUCAUCUAAUCCGCUUGGUGGACAUAUAUUUUUCUGGGAGAUGACCUAAAUGGUGCUUACUGUUGGAAAUUCCCACUGUUCCCCAGUCUGUCCCAGCCCUCCAAGUUCCAUAGACUUAAAAUGACUUCUUAAUGAUCAGCACUUCUUAAUGAUCGGCACAAAUUUCCUUACUGAAAGACCUACAACUGCGUGUCCUGCCCAUGGUGAACACAAAGUUUAUUCCCCCCUGUUUUUUUUGCAGGGGCUCCAGCAAAUCAAGCACUACUACUUCUUGAAAAAAUUCCCCAUUGAUCACACUGUCCACACCUUUGCUCAGCUGUGUCCUUCUUUUUUAGGCCUUCUGAAAUUGGGUUUGGGAGCUUGAAUAGGCAAACCCGCAAUGUUUUCCAAGUUAAAACUGACCGACAUUAACAAAGGCAAAAUUACUCUGUAAAACCCCAGAAACAUUGUUCUCUAGCUCAGUUGCAACAUUUUCUUGGAAGCAAUUAUAAUUAUAAAUCUAUUUUUUAUUUCAACACAAGGAACUGCUCUCUUUUCGGGUUUGUUUUUUUGGGGGGGAGAAAGGGGGGAUUUUUUUUGGCUGGACAGUGAAAUGAAUUCAAGUGGCUUUACCCCUGAUAUGGAAGACAGAGAGACCUCUGAGAAGCACAGGGCUUGUUGAAUAUGAAAUGCUAGAGGUCUGGUUUAUGUUCCUGGUUUAUAAGUUGCACUUUAACAUUUAUUUUUAAACCAAAACCAUGACCUGUAUAUCCUGUUUCAUAUAGGGAUGUACUUUCUUUUGAGUUUCAUGGUGACAUCUGAUGGUGCAGCCAAUUCUUCCACAAGCAGUGGGACCCUGAGGCUGUAAUCUGUUGCCAAGACCUCUGAAAAGGGAGAAUUGCAUCCAAUUUUAUCCCCUCUACUACCUCUAAUCUCUGCUGCUUGCAAUGCGGUACAGAUCUAACGAGAAAGCUGAAUUGCAGCACAUUAAAUGAAUCAGUGAGUGGAGACUUUGGGGUUGCCCAUGGUUCCAGCAGGAUUUAGCCCCAGGGCCCUUGCAAAAUUUUUGCCCAUGAUUGAGCCCCGUGGGUCUGCAGGAAACGAUUGACUACAGGGGAGCUCACCCACAUGGAGUCAACGCUUGGUUGCCUCCUUGAGUCUCAUCAAGCAUGAAAGAGCAGCAAGGAAACUCCCUUUUUAACAUAGAGAGAAUGGAAAGACUGAUAGUAAGGAAGGAAGGCAAAUAAUGAUGAAGUAACAGUGUGCCCAAGUGCUCCUACUCUGCCCAACACAGUGCCGUCACUCCCGUGAAAUCCACAGGGGCCUGUUUCCAGAUGACAACGGGGUAUCGCUGGUGAAAAAUACCCCCUUUCCAAAAGUCUUCUCUGGACUUGAAGACAGCCUCAACACCUGCUUGGACUUUGAUGUUUCCGUAAAGGUUUCAAGGAGAAUUAAAGGCUGAAAAGUCAGUCAAGGGGAAAAUCACAAAGCAGAAAUAAAAGAGCUGAUCUCCUUGUCUGAAAUGGACUUAUGGCCCAAAUUGUGUGGAAGUAGGAUGCUUUUUUUAUUAUUAUUUUUUUUAAUGCUCAGCUUGAGAUAUCAUGGGCUUAUUUAACAGGGGCUGAAGAGCACCCCACCUCAACUGAGAACAGUAGAGCCCAGGGUAGAAAUGCAUACAACAACACCCCUUGUCUAAUAAGCAGAAUGUGGAAAGUCAUUAUAAAAGCAGAAAAAAAAAUAGUAACACCACCGCAGAAUUUUCACUUAAAUAUGUCUUGUGUCUUUUCUCCUGCAUCAGAAAAUCUGGCCUUUGGCUUUUUACCUGUGACCCCCAAGGUGUAGUAAUAGCUCUGUUUUGGCAGAACAAAACAAGAAUGGG
Cygnus olor (mute swan) is the source of this 4852-nucleotide long non-coding RNA. RefSeq lists it as uncharacterized. Lineage: Eukaryota; Metazoa; Chordata; Aves; Anseriformes; Anatidae. The transcript is spliced from 3 exons. The record is from RefSeq and is a predicted model, not a curated record.